AGAGUUUGAUUAUGGCUCAGGANNNACGCUGGCGGCGCGCUUAACACAUGCAAGUCGAGCGAUAACCAUGGCUUCGGCCAUGGGGAGAGCGGCGAACGGGUGAGUAACACGUGAGCGAUCUGCCCUCGACACUGGGAUAGCCCGGGGAAACCCGGAUUAAUACCGGAUAGCCUCUCGAGCUCUCGGGCUCGUGAGAAAAGAUGGCUUCGGCUUUCGGUUGAGGAGGAGCUUGCGGCGGAUUAGCUUGUUGGUGAGGUAACGGCUCACCAAGGCGACGAUCCGUAGCUGGUCUGAGAGGACGAUCAGCCACACUGGGACUGAGACACGGCCCAGACUCCUACGGGAGGCAGCAGUGGGGAAUCUUGCGCAAUGGGCGAAAGCCUGACGCAGCGACGCCGCGUGAGGGAAGAAGGCCUUCGGGUUGUAAACCUCUUUCAGGAGGGACGAAGCUACUCGGGUUAAUAGCCCAGAGGGUGACGGUACCUCCAGAAGAAGCCCCGGCUAACUACGUGCCAGCAGCCGCGGUAAUACGUAGGGGGCAAGCGUUGUCCGGAAUCAUUGGGCGUAAAGCGCGUGUAGGCGGCCAGAUAAGUCCGCUGUGAAAUCUCGAGGCUCAACUUCGAGCUGUCGGUGGAAACUGUCUGGCUAGAGUCCGGAAGNNGAGAGUGGAAUUCCUGGUGUAGCGGUGAAAUGCGCAGAUAUCANNAAGAACACCCGUGGCGAAGGCGGCUCUCUGGGACGGUACUGACGCUG
This 753-nucleotide ribosomal RNA is filed under the name uncultured bacterium. RNAcentral describes it as "bacterial SSU rRNA". It matches the Rfam family "Bacterial small subunit ribosomal RNA", at positions 8 to 748 of the family's 1533-position model. The record is from RNAcentral.